GAACGCUGGCGGCGUGCUUAACACAUGCAAGUCGAACGAGAACGGGUUAUAGCUUGCUAUAAUUGUCAGCUAAGUGGCGCACGGGUGAGUAAUGUAUAGGUAAUAUGCCUCUUACUAAGGGAUAACAAAUGGAAACGUUUGCUAAUACCUUACACUCCUUAUUAACUAAAGUUGGUAAGGGAAAGAUUUAUUGGUAAGAGAUUGGCCUGUAUUGUAUCAGUUAGUUGGUGUGGUAACGGCACACCAAGGCUACGAUGGGUAGGGGUCCUGAGAGGGAGAUCCCCCACACUGGUACUGAGACACGGACCAGACUCCUACGGGAGGCAGCAGUGAGGAAUAUUGGACAAUGGGCGCAAGCCUGAUCCAGCCAUGCCGCGUGCAGGAUGAAGCAUCUAUGGUGUGUAAACUGCUUUUGUACAGGAAGAAACCCUCCCACGUGUGGGAGAUUGACGGUACUGUAAGAAUAAGGAUCGGCUAACUCCGUG
RNAcentral lists this ribosomal RNA (485 nucleotides) under uncultured bacterium. RNAcentral's name for it is "bacterial SSU rRNA". It matches the Rfam family "Bacterial small subunit ribosomal RNA", at positions 31 to 507 of the family's 1533-position model. The record is from RNAcentral.